Non-coding RNA from Dermacentor andersoni, 678 nucleotides. Lineage: Eukaryota; Metazoa; Arthropoda; Arachnida; Ixodida; Ixodidae. The record is from RefSeq and is a predicted model, not a curated record.
AAAAAAAUGCCAGCAUUGUGAGGGUGCCGCAGCUGUUAUAUAAAUAAGAGACACCCCUCGCCCUCAAAGUCGUUUCGUCGGUCUCGUUUUUGUUGAAUCCAUCCGACCGUAACACCGUUUCUUCUCUACGAUUUUUAAACAUGAGUGCAAUGAGUAAUAUAUCUGUCCGAGGAGCAAAUGAGCGACUUAAACCGCGCGCGUUCGAGGCACGUUGUCGGGUUGCGUACGUCUAACUGCGAACUUCAAGCAAUGAUGAAAGCGGGAUACUUUUUACCAGAGUGGGGAGCGGUGCUAACAUGCGUGGCUGUGGUGUGGGCCAACGACCAAACAGUCGGCAACUGCGUGGAUGACUCGCUCUGCUCGUUGUCCUGCGUCGAACGGCACAUGCACGAAGCGCGCUAUAUAGGUGUAGCUGGCCACUGCAAGAACGGUAGCUGCGUCUGCACCUAUCUGGAACCCUGUGAACCCAAACGGUGCGUGGAAGACUGCAAGAAAAAACACCCGGACAAGUUACACUUGAAGGCGGAGUGCAAAGAUAAAGGCACCUGUCAAUGCACAUGGAAUUCCAAAUGUGAGGAGGCUUGGUGCGAUGCCGAGUGCCGACGAAAGCACGCGGGGAAGCAGCAUCUGCACUCUACUUGCGAAGGGUACAAGUGUAUGUGUCACUGGCACGCAGGC